This 227-nucleotide ribosomal RNA is filed under the name uncultured bacterium. Its description in RNAcentral is "partial 16S ribosomal RNA". It matches the Rfam family "Bacterial small subunit ribosomal RNA", at positions 383 to 607 of the family's 1533-position model. The record is from RNAcentral.
CUGAACCAGCCAAGUAGCGUGAAGGAUGACUGCCCUAUGGGUUGUAAACUUCUUUUAUAUGGGAAUAAAGUUUUCCACGUGUGGAAUUUUGUAUGUACCAUAUGAAUAAGGAUCGGCUAACUCCGUGCCAGCAGCCGCGGUAAUACGGAGGAUCCGAGCGUUAUCCGGAUUUAUUGGGUUUAAAGGGAGCGUAGGUGGAUGUUUAAGUCAGUUGUGAAAGUUUGCGG